RNAcentral lists this long non-coding RNA (2736 nucleotides) under Nicotiana tabacum (common tobacco). Its description in RNAcentral is "long non-coding RNA (NTAB_LNC010382)". The record is from RNAcentral. Lineage: Eukaryota; Viridiplantae; Streptophyta; Magnoliopsida; Solanales; Solanaceae.
CUAGAGUACCUAUGUUGCUCAAACUCCGGUAAGUAGAUUCACACCUGUAUGAGAAGAUUAAGACCAACUAAAGUUAAAGACCUAGAACACUAUGUGAGACAAUAACACUUCCUGUUGGACACAUGCAAGACAUGAUUAAGGUUAUUUUGGCAAAACGACUUACGUGGACAAAAGUGGCUAGACAUGCAAGAUUUGGCUAUGACCCCGCGAAGCCAAGAACCUAAGACUCACUAGAAAGACCGGACCAUAUGUGGGCUGCCUACGUAUCCCGCCUCGAGAGACAAGAAUUAGGUAUGAGUAGUUCGGAAAGAUUUGAUACGUGCGAGAAUUUUAAAAAAAAAUAACUACUUUCGAGAAAAUAUAUUUUUUGUCUUUUUUUUUGAAAAAUAAUGAAACAUGUAAACUCUUUUUGGAUUUUAUUUUUCCUUUUUUUGAUUUUUUUUUUGGAAAAUGAUGGGAAAGUGCAAAAUCUUUUUGGAUCUUUCAUUUUCAAAAAGUUGUGAAAGAAAAAUGUAAUUGGGCUCUACUUGCUUCAUUUAUUUACACUUCACCCUAUUUUUUCUCAUUUAUCCUCAACCAUCAUUGGUCCGCCAAAUGACCUGUUUAACCUUUGAAGAAUAGAACAUGAAGCACAUAAGAUGCAUCAGCAUGGUCUUUUAUUUUUGGGUACACCUGUCCUAGACGAACCCAACCCCUGUGUUGAGUCCCCAAAGUCAAAUGCACAUGAUGCAAACAACUUUCCUACUAGGGAUCCGGCAUGAGGUUAUGUAAUUCUAGGUUGAAACUUGGGGUUGUAUUCUAGACCUGGCUUACUCGAACGGAUAACUUGAGCCAGGGGGGCAGCGUACCGAGAAUACAGAAGCUUCACCGGCUUUGCAACUUGUCCGAACCUCGUUCUAAAAUUGGGAUAUAACUCUAACAGAANNNNNNNNNNNNNNNNNNNNNNNNNNNNNNNNNNNNNNNGAAAAGAAGCCACACGAAGUGCACGCUUCCUAGAUGAUUUAGAAGACUCAGAGAGAAGAGGGUUUCGUAACAGUUUAUAUACAGUCCAAGCAAUAUCAAAGCGGUAAAAAGCAACAUUUAGUACAUUAGGCUCAAACACAUAAAAUAAAUUAGAUAAUAAAUAAAGGCCAACUGUAAUAACUAUUCUAAGCUCGAAUUCUUGAACCCUGAACCAAAGAUUCUGGGUUCUCAUCCCCAGCAGAGUCGCCAGAGCUGUCACACCUCCUUUUUCUAUCCCAAAAAGGGGUAUAGGGGAGUUUUUCCAAUUAAAGUGACAAUAACCAAAACGAAAUUAUUUAUAUCAAAUAUAGAGUCGCCACUUGGGAUAUUUUAUGGUGUCCCAAGUCACCGGUUUAAAAUCCUGAAUCGAGGAAGUUGACUCUUGUUUAUGGUCUGCGAACACAGAAAUCCGGGUAAGGAAUUCUGUUAACCUGAGAGAAGGUGUCAGGAAUUCUCGGGUUCCGUAGUUUUAGCACAGUUGCUCAACUAUUAUUAUUGGCCUAAUUAUCUGUUUAAUUACACAUUUUAAACCUACGUGCAUUUUUAACUUUCUAACCGCUUUUAAUAUUUUUAGGAAAAUUCAUGAUCGUCAUACACUUGCUUAUUUUUGAAAACACAUCGUAAACCACGCUACAUGAAAUGCACCCGCGAUUCAUGGCAUGUUUAAUUUAUUUAACAUUAUUGAAAAUUGGAGUCGUGUCAUAUGAAAUGUACACCCAGAUUUGGAAAUUAUAUAUCACGACUACGUCAUGGGAACCGUACCCGUAGCUAUGAUAAUUUAUAUUAUAACGCGCCUAAAGCAAACUACGAGAUUGUUAAAGAAUACUACAAAUUAUUAAUGGACUAACAAAAGAGAGCAAUAAACCAGACAACUAAUAAAACGUUAAUUAUUCCAAACAUAGAGUGAGAUAGAAGAAAGAAUGGACCUCAAAAGCUUUGAAUCGCAAAACUCAUUAACUGAACGGGACCUUGACCGGAAAACUUCAGCGGCGCCAGAAACGCAAACGGAAAUUAACAACCCGAAGCACCUCGAGUCAUACUCCGAACCUCAAUUGAUCUCCAUUUUCAUACUUGAAAACCAAAAUUCAAAACCCAAAUGAAAAGAAAAACAGAAACGUCUAUAUCCAUAUAUGUAUAUGCACAUUUUUAUCUUUUUUCUGAAAUUUAAACAAACAUUGAAAACCAUAAAAAUGAGCCGCUGAAUCCUUUUCUUUGAAAUCCAAAUUUCAUCCCAUGUUUCCGUCCCAAAUUUUCCCAACGACUCUGUACGUUCUCUGCCUCUGUUUCGUUCUCCCUCCCCUCUGUUUUCGACCCUCUAUCUCUAUUCUUUUCUACCUUCGAUGUCUGUUGUUGCUAGCUAGAGGGUGGUCAAUGGUGGCUAUUGGUAUGGGAGAUGGGUGAGAAUGGUGUGUAGAUGAAGAAGAUGAAGAGAGACACGGUUGGUUAUGGAGAUGACAGAAAUGGGUGAUGAGGGUGGUCAUGUGGCAUUGAGGUUUUGGAGAUGAGUGGUCGCUGGUUCUGUUGCUGGCAGAAGUCGCUAGGAGAGGAGCGAGUUGGUGAGGGAGACAGGCUGCUACUUGGAGAGGAUGACAGCUGGAUUUGGUCUUGGUUGUUCUUCUCUAGGGUUUGUGUUAAGUAAGAUGAAGGAGUUGAAGGUUGUCUAGGGUUUUUUUUUCUUGUGUUGUGAAGGGUCCCCAUGAAGAAGAAGAGUCCUUAGGUUAAAAAAAUGGCUGG